GGCUGGCCCAAGUGUUUACAACUAAUUGAUCACAACUAGCUGUGGAUUUCUUUGUUUCUUCACUCCCACUACUUCUCUUGGCUAGCCUUAA
This is a Y RNA of Heterocephalus glaber (naked mole-rat), 91 nucleotides long. It matches the Rfam family "Y RNA". From Rfam's summary of the family: Y RNAs are components of the Ro ribonucleoprotein particle (Ro RNP), in association with Ro60 and La proteins. The Y RNAs and Ro60 and La proteins are well conserved, but the function of the Ro RNP is not known. In humans the RNA component can be one of four small RNAs -- hY1, hY3, hY4 and hY5. The record is from Ensembl. NCBI's taxonomy places the organism in Eukaryota, Metazoa, Chordata, Mammalia, Rodentia, Bathyergidae.